AUUGAACGCUGGCGGCAUGCCUUACACAUGCAAGUCGAACGGCAGCACGGGAGCAAUCCUGGUGGCGAGUGGCGAACGGGUGAGUAAUAUAUCGGAACGUGCCCAGUCGUGGGGAUAACGUAGCGAAAGCUACGCUAAUACCGCAUACGAUCUACGGAUGAAAGCGGGGGAUCGCAAGACCUCGCGCGAUUGGAGCGGCCGAUAUCAGAUUAGGUAGUUGGUGNGGUAAAGGCUCACCAAGCCGACGAUCUGUAGCUGGUCUGAGAGGACGACCGGCCACACUGGGACUGAGACACGGCCCAGACUCCUACGGGAGGCAGCAGUGGGGAAUUUUGGACAAUGGGCGCAAGCCUGAUCCAGCAAUGCCGCGUGCAGGAUGAAGGCCUUC
This 388-nucleotide ribosomal RNA is filed under the name uncultured bacterium. Its description in RNAcentral is "bacterial SSU rRNA". It matches the Rfam family "Bacterial small subunit ribosomal RNA", at positions 30 to 419 of the family's 1533-position model. The record is from RNAcentral.